GGGACAUGGGAACAAAUUAUGAACAUUUUUGGCAACAACAUAGAUGGAGUUGUACUUAUACCUGUAUUAGUUCUUGUUUCAAGUAAUGUGGUGUGUCUUUUCAUCCCGAGUUUGUGCUUAAUUAUUGUAGGUUUAUAUUGUAAACUUGGGGCUUCCCUUUUUCUUGGGUCAGUUCUCUGCUGAUUUAAUUUAUCUGUUAGUAACUUUGAGGAUGACGAUGAGGUUGUAGCAUGCUAGCAGCUAUGUCCAGAUUGUGAGGCUGUCCACUCUUCCCUUCUGUUAAAUCUUUGAAAUAGGAUGGCUAAGUAUGACUUCAGUGAAGAUGACGGUGCACACAUUGAGAAAGCAUUAAGGAUCCGGUGAGCAUGUGGUGCCAAAUCAAUAGCUAGGAUAAUUUAUGAAUUGGAACUUUAGGCAGAGGCAAUUAGUACUGAGCGUGAAGAGGAGAACGAUCUUGACAUUGGUAUUGUAUUUGUCGCUGCACAUCCAUGGCAUGAUUUUGACAUUGGUCCUGAAGUACAAAAAAUUGCCAGUUGUGUUAUUGAGAUCUCAAAAGGAAUCUAGGUCAAGUAUGAACUGGACAAGAAAACAAGAUUAAUUAAGGUUAAUCGUAUUCUGUAUUCAUCAGUGGUGUAUCCUCGCAACUUGCACUUUUGAUUGGUUUUAUUGCCAUUUUGCCUUGAUCAUGGCCAUCAAUUUCAACAGCUGAAGCGGUAUUCAGUUAAUAUUAUGUUUUGGAAGUGACCCUUGGUUGAGGUGGCCUUUGGAGAACUUGCUUAGAUGCUAUUAUAUGUAGGAUUUUUGAAGUAAGUAUACGGUGGCUAUCUUUCAUAGUACAGAGUAUCUAGUCAAGCUAUCUUUGGUCCUAAACUGCAAACCUGCUGUUAAUAGACUGAUGUUGUAAUGCUGUACUUUCUAAUACUAGUAUGGCCUCGCCGCCUCGGUAGAACUUGUAACUGUGUGUAAGCAAUGGAUACUUCUUUUUUGAUUUUAGCAUGUAAUAGCUACUAUAGUUCGUAUUGAUUAAAAGAUU
Long non-coding RNA from Spinacia oleracea (spinach), 1033 nucleotides. RefSeq lists it as uncharacterized. The transcript is spliced from 6 exons. The record is from RefSeq and is a predicted model, not a curated record. Lineage: Eukaryota; Viridiplantae; Streptophyta; Magnoliopsida; Caryophyllales; Amaranthaceae.